This 224-nucleotide ribosomal RNA is filed under the name uncultured bacterium. RNAcentral's name for it is "partial 16S ribosomal RNA". It matches the Rfam family "Bacterial small subunit ribosomal RNA", at positions 524 to 743 of the family's 1533-position model. The record is from RNAcentral.
UACGGGGGGGAGCAAGCGUUUGUUCGGAUUUACUGGGCGUAAAGGGCGCGUAGGCGGCCACCGCAAGUCGACUGUGAAAUCUCCGGGCUUAACCCGGAAAGGUCAGCCGAUACUGCGGGGCUAGAGUGCAGGAAGGGGCAACUGGAAUUCUCGGUGUAGCGGUGAAAUGCGUAGAUAUCGAGAGGAACACCUGCGGCGAAGGCGGGUUGCUGGGCUGACACUGA